Molecule: ribosomal RNA, 206 nt
Filed under: uncultured bacterium
Lineage: Bacteria
Description: partial 16S ribosomal RNA
Rfam family: Bacterial small subunit ribosomal RNA
Source: RNAcentral
UGUGUAGGCGGUCCGGUAAGUCGGUUGUGAAAGUCCAGGGCUCAACCCUGGGAUGCCGAUCGAUACUGCCGGACUAGAGUCCGGAAGAGGCGAGUGGAAUUCCCGGUGUAGCGGUGAAAUGCGCAGAUAUCGGGAGGAACACCAAUGGCGAAGGCAGCUCGCUGGGACGGUACUGACGCUGAGACGCGAAAGCGUGGGAGCAAACA